This 741-nucleotide ribosomal RNA is filed under the name Microbacterium sp. LZX18. RNAcentral's name for it is "bacterial SSU rRNA". It matches the Rfam family "Bacterial small subunit ribosomal RNA", at positions 54 to 805 of the family's 1533-position model. Lineage: Bacteria; Bacillati; Actinomycetota; Actinomycetes; Micrococcales; Microbacteriaceae. The record is from RNAcentral.
CAUGCAAGUCGAACGAUGAAGCUCCAGCUUGCUGGGGUGGAUUAGUGGCGAACGGGUGAGUAACACGUGAGCAACCUGCCCCUGACUCUGGGAUAAGCGCUGGAAACGGCGUCUAAUACUGGAUAUGUCCCAUCACCGCAUGGUGUGUGGGUGGAAAGAUUUUUCGGUUGGGGAUGGGCUCGCGGCCUAUCAGCUUGUUGGUGAGGUAAUGGCUCACCAAGGCGUCGACGGGUAGCCGGCCUGAGAGGGUGACCGGCCACACUGGGACUGAGACACGGCCCAGACUCCUACGGGAGGCAGCAGUGGGGAAUAUUGCACAAUGGGCGGAAGCCUGAUGCAGCAACGCCGCGUGAGGGAUGACGGCCUUCGGGUUGUAAACCUCUUUUAGCAGGGAAGAAGCGAGAGUGACGGUACCUGCAGAAAAAGCGCCGGCUAACUACGUGCCAGCAGCCGCGGUAAUACGUAGGGCGCAAGCGUUAUCCGGAAUUAUUGGGCGUAAAGAGCUCGUAGGCGGUUUGUCGCGUCUGCUGUGAAAUCCCGAGGCUCAACCUCGGGCUUGCAGUGGGUACGGGCAGACUAGAGUGCGGUAGGGGAGAUUGGAAUUCCUGGUGUAGCGGUGGAAUGCGCAGAUAUCAGGAGGAACACCGAUGGCGAAGGCAGAUCUCUGGGCCGUAACUGACGCUGAGGAGCGAAAGGGUGGGGAGCAAACAGGCUUAGAUACCCUGGUAGUCCACGCUGUAA